Molecule: long non-coding RNA, 310 nt
Filed under: Linum usitatissimum (flax)
Lineage: Eukaryota; Viridiplantae; Streptophyta; Magnoliopsida; Malpighiales; Linaceae
Description: long non-coding RNA (LUSI_LNC007038)
Source: RNAcentral
CAAGACUCGACUUUACGAGAUAGAAAAAUAAGGUCAAGAAACAGUGUUAAUUUCCCUUCCAUGAAGGUUUCCUACAAUUGCCUCCUCCAAACAAAACCUCUAUAAAACGUAGUCUGCAAAGUGCAAAAAUAAAAAAUAACUCAAAUGGCAAAAAAUAUUAGGGACGGAUGAGAUUCGGUAUCACCAACUGUCAGAUAUAAAAAUAAAAGAAAAAAGAAAGAAAACUAAUUACUCCUAUAUCCCAAUCUUGUACAAUGCUACAUUGUGAACAAAAAAUUAAAAAUAAGUAAAAUCUAAAAAGAGGCAAAAU